Python bivittatus (Burmese python) is the source of this 205-nucleotide non-coding RNA. NCBI's taxonomy places the organism in Eukaryota, Metazoa, Chordata, Lepidosauria, Squamata, Pythonidae. The record is from RefSeq and is a predicted model, not a curated record.
GACCUCCAGCCAAGGCAGGUAGAGAGGUGGUUUCGAUGCCGCCUGAAUCAGGACCGGCCCAACUUGACCAAGAAAUUCUCUGAAGCCAGCUGGAGAGGCAUCUACUAUGUUAUUUCCUUCUGCACGGGGUUGGCUGUCCUUUAUGAUAAACCCUGGUUCUGGGAUCUCCGCCAAUGUUGGGUUGGGUAUCCACAGCAGGUAAGGA